This 949-nucleotide small RNA is filed under the name Pongo abelii (Sumatran orangutan). Its description in RNAcentral is "processed transcript". The record is from RNAcentral. Lineage: Eukaryota; Metazoa; Chordata; Mammalia; Primates; Hominidae.
AGAGAGUAAAACUGCCUGUGAACAAGAAUGCUUAAGUGGACAAUGGUAAAUCUGACAGAAAAGCAGGGUCAGAGCAAAACAAUUGCAAAGCUCAGAGUGUAAACUGCAUGUCCUCAGGUCAAGCAGAGGAUGAAAAGCAGAACAAUCUCCUCAUUCAAGAAACUUCCUGGCGGCCAGCAAGCUGAGUAAUGAGAAACAAACUGAGUGGAGGCCUUCCACAGAGGGUUAAGCAUCUGAAAGGCCAGAAUGAUUCAGCGUUCCCUGAAGAAGAAGAAGGCACCAAUGAAAGAGAGGAGCAGCGGGACCAUUAAUUACUGGUCUGCAGCAAGAAGGCUUCUUGGAAAUAACUGAACUAUUAACUUUUCUGAGUAUACCAUGGAAUUCCACUGCUUGGCUUCCAGAAGCAUCCUCCAUCUCUGCACCCUGCACUCAUACAGUAGCUAUGCACAUCCUGGAAGUCUCCUUGACUGAACUUUAGAACUAAGUACACAUAGUUCCACAUCACUUACAAUUAAAGAAUAAGCAUUUAUUUUACAGUGAUUCUUCUUUUUAACUAUGUAAAAAUUUGCAGAUGUGACUGUUCUAACUUUAAUACUGCCAGAGCUUAAUCCUUGAUGUCUUACUGAUAAGGUUUGCAUUCUAACAACACAUGUAAAUAACACCACUUUAAGAGUAAAAAAUAAAUAUUAAACACAUUUAGACAUAAGUGUGUGUGUGUGUGUGUGUGUGUGUGUGUGUGUGUGUGUGUGGGUUUAACUUAAAGAGAAAUAUCUAAUAAAACUUUUAGCUUAAGAUUUGCAUUGAUCAUAUUUCUGUAUCCAGAACAGAACACAAUGUUCAUUUUUAAAGAAGAAAUGCCAGUUUUCUUGAUUCAAUACACCACAAUAUUAGAUACUAAACAUCCUUUUCCCACCAACAACACAUUAAUGGUUGGCUAUAAAACUACAGA